This is a non-coding RNA of Ictidomys tridecemlineatus (thirteen-lined ground squirrel), 7631 nucleotides long. The record is from RefSeq and is a predicted model, not a curated record. Lineage: Eukaryota; Metazoa; Chordata; Mammalia; Rodentia; Sciuridae.
UUGCCUCAUUUGGGGGAGACGUGCUGCCAAGUCAAUUGGAACAGCCUGUGCCCAUCUUUAUUAUUUUCGUUUCCCUCUCUGCAUCUUUUAGCUUUUCUUCUGGAACAAAACAUUACGUAGCGGCCAGAACACCAUCUUGGCAAAUGCAACACAAAGGAACUCUCCGCGUGCCUCUGGAGAAGCCGGCCUGGUGUGGCUGUCGGUGGGAGCUGGGGAUGCCCCUGGGGGAUGCCCCUUGCUUCCAGGGGCUGGUGUAGCCCUCACGGACCCUCAUCCCUGCAGAGCCCCCAGUAACUCAGAAGACUCCCUUCCGCUGAGGCUGAGGUGGGCUCCACCUGGCCUCUUCACGGGAGGCCUUCUCUGACCGACCCUCUCUUCCCUGCGCCAGAAGCCAGACACAGCGAUGGACUGGCAUAUUCCACUUUCCCAUGUAAGACUGGACUCUGCUCCUAAUGUCAGGGUCAGCUCUCUCCCUCUGCUUCCUCCACUGCAGCAGACAGAGCACAGGGCUGGCCAGACACAAGGGGACUAGCCCUUUGCGGCACAGAGCGCGUGGCAUGGCGGGAUGAGGCUGAAGUGAGUGAGGAGUAUGGUGUCAAGAUUUAAGAAGGGCUUGUCCUUGGGGCCCACCUGCACUCGCACAGCCCUGACAGGAGCCACUCCUGAAUUCUGAUAUACCUGCCUGGCCCGAGUCCUGGCCCUGCACACUGCCCUAAGAACCAGUGAGCUAUUCUCCAGGCAGGGGGAGGCCUCCAAGUGGAUGUGAAAUGUGUGGGUCACACACAGGUGCCUGCUUUGGCUAGGCCCCAUGUUUAAAUCCUUUGGGUCAGCAGAAGCCAAGGAAGCUCUGGGGUACCAAAGGCAGUGCCAGCUCCGCCUGCCCCUCUGCUGGGGUGAGUAACCUGUGGGGUGGUUAUAUCUUUAGUUCCCUUCCUUAACAUACCAAGGGAAAUAACCCAGCAAACUGAGAUCUCCCUCAGUGGACUGGUCCCCAGGGAGUGGGGAGGGAGCCCCUGUGUCACUCGUCCAGCAGUGCUGAUUUAUGACAGCUGUCUGGCCUUAGGGGGGCAUAGCGCUGCUCUGAAAGGGCCCUCUGCCUCCAUAUCACCCUGUCCAGCCACAAGGGACCUUGUGUGACUCUCUCCUGUCAUCAUCAUCAGGACCACCCCACCAUCAAGGCCAGUGGGAAACUGUCCAAUCUGGGUGCCAGGCUGGAGUGGCUCAGCCUAGCCCUUGGCUUAGUAACCAGAAGUUUCCAUCAAGACCUGCUACAGGCUCCAGGGUGUGGAACCAGCCAAGCAGCCUUCCCCAGGCCGGGAGAAGAGGGGAGCCAGGGAUGUCACAGAGGCAGUUAGGAACCCGAGCCAUCCCUCUGACCUCUGCUUCCACCCCGGGACCCCUAGGUGACCCAAGGUUUUGUAGCAGAGGCUUUAGGGUAUCAUCUUCGUUGCUUGAAAAAGACGGGGAGCUUUCUUUCUCCAAUGCCAGCUAACUGCAGAGUUGCCCGGCCUGAGUCUGUCCUUGGACUUGGAGGGAAAUAACCCAGCAAACCGAGACCUCACUCAAUAGACUGGCCCCCAGGGAGUGCGAAGGGAGCCCCUGUGUCACACGUCCAGCAGUGGUGAUUUAUGACAGCUGUCUGGCCUUAGGGGGCCAUGGCUCUUCUCCUCAGCACGGUUCUUAUUAAUUUAUUUAUUUUAGCUGCUUUAUUGAGGUUUGAUUGGCACACAAAGAGCUGUAGAUACUUAAUGUACACAACUUGAUGUGUUCAGAGAUCUAAUGUGCAUGCUCAAAACCAUCUACCCAUCGCUAUCCAGGCCACCAACAUACCUGUCACAUUCAAAAGUUCCCUCUGCCUUCUUUUUUUUCUUUUUUCCUUUUAUAGUAAGAACACUUAAAUAGGGAGGGAUGGAAAAAGGCUACAAAGUUUCAGUUACGUAAAAGAAUCAACUUCUGGGGAUCUACCCCAAGACAGGACCAAGAUAACCACUGGGCAUUUGCCAUAUGCACUUCUCCACGUGCUCAGAGGCGAGCGCCCACGGGAAGUGCUCAUCCACAUGGGUGUCUUUCGAAGCCACCACACGUUUGCUUGACAGCAUCCCAAUGGUGUAGGCAGGGAAACAUGGAAUUUUGUAAGUAAGGAGGAGGAACAAAAGGAAGCUCAGGGACGGGGACAAUGAUCUAGUUCUGCGUCCUCAAAUUGAGGUGGGUGGGCCAGCAGUUCCUACUACCUGGGUGCUUGUUAUCAAUGCAGAUCUCAGGCCUCACCCCAGCACCCUCAAGUCAGAAUCUGCAUUUUUAACAGGUUGUAGUUUGAACACAGUCUGAGAUGCGGGGCUCCACCCAGAAUCAGGCAUUCCAAUACGCCGGAUGGCCCUGGGGGUCAGGGUAUCUUUUGGAAAACUCAUAUUCUAUAAUUACAGGGCUUAAUACAUGACCUAAAAUGACAAAUGUUCAAAAUGCUUUUCUGAUGAUAGGUUGCAGGAAAGAUGUCACCGAUUCCUUUUCUGGGCCCAAUUUCUCUCACAAAAAGCAAUCUCCCUGCUUCAGAAAGGUGGUAUCCCAUACCUGUUUGAGAUGAGCAAUAUUAAAAGAACAAGGCUCCCAGAUCCCUCCUUCCCAUGAGCACCUUUGCUUUGAGACUUUCUGGCUGUGGGUUUCGAUGUAGUGAUUUUUUUUUUUUUUUCAAAAAAGCACACGAUUCAGAGACUUCUCUCAUGGGACUAAUUGACUAGGCAUUUGUGCUAUUGCUCCUGGUGUAAAUCAUUAUAAUGGUGAUAAUGAAAAAUAAAAAAGAUAUUGGAAAUGACAGUUGGCAACAUAAUAUCAGCAUAAACUGAGGGAAGAGGGGAGGCGUGUAUAAAUUAGGGACUCGUAAACAACAGGAUCGAUGAGGGAGUUAUGCCGGGUAGGGUUUGAUCAUUUAGAUGAGAAUUAGCUAGAGUUAUCAUUAUGAAUAACCAUGGUUGGCUCCUUCCGAUUCCUUGUUCUUGUGGCUCCAUGGAGGAUGGAGACCCUGAAAUUGGAGCCCUGUGUCCCAACAGUCCUGCAAACCCUGGAUCAAAGUCUUUGGAGCUGAAUUUUGCAGUUACUUCCCUCCUCCAAGUGGGCCUCCCAGUGGCUCAGGGCUGCCUCGCAGACAUGCCUGAUUAUUCUGAAUCUUGCAGAAUUGACUAAUUCAACGGGCUCCCGCUUCACAGGAAAUGGUGUUCGUCAGUGACCCAAGCUGAUGAAUGAAUCCUACUCGGUGCCUGGAGCCAGACCCAGCAGCAAGAGCUGCAAAGAAGAAAGACUGAUGCGUGCUCUCUAUUUGGCUGCCAAAAUGCUCUUGCAAUUUGCUUUCUUCUAGACAAGAGUCUAUUCAAAAGUCUAUUUGGAAACAUUAGGGAACGGCCGUCACAUGGCCGGCAGAUCAUACUGCCUGUGACAGGAUAUUAUCUUCCUUGGGAGAGACUCAACUGCUCUUUUAUUUCACCAAGUAACUAGCGUCUGGGCUGAUGGCUGCAGAAUUGCUCGGAGGGCUGGGGACAUUAAAAUCCCUGUCCAGAGCAAAUGCGGAACCGACAGCCACUUCAGCACGCAGGAUUUGUGGAACCAUCGCCCGCAUUAAGUGCUAGCAUCCAGCUUUCGUCUCCUCUCUGAUUAACCAAGCAGGGAUACUUUGCUUCCAGGCUGCCACUUCCACCCCUGACGAGCAGCCUGGGACCGCGGGCCCCAGGCACACCAGCAGGAAUCAGCACCGUUUCCUUGGGUCCUCCCUUCCCGGACUCUCCUGCCUCCACCUGGCUCUGAACAAGGGGGACCUUUGCCAUGACCCCCAGGGCUCAAGACAGGGAAGCUGAGGGAAGCAGGCUGCUCCCCAGUUUCUGGGCUUGGAAGACUUCCUGCGGGACCCUCAGGGCAGCCCUGGAGGCAGGCUGGGCAGUCAUCAGCUACCCCUUCCACCGCAGGCACAACCCAGCCAGUGAGCGCCAGAGCGGAGGGCUGGCAGCUUCUUUAAGGCCUCAUCCGAGACUCUUGGGCAACAAGAACAUGGCAUUUGACCUUCUGCUGUGAAUGGUGAAACUGAGGCACAGAAAGGUCAAGCAACUUUCCCAAAGUCACCCAGCUAAAAAGCGGUAGAGACAGAAUCUGGGUCCGGGCAACGUGGCUCUCGAGUCCCGCUCUCGCCUACCCCCAUCUCUGCUGGUUCUGCUCUCUGCUGUGUCUCAGCUCAGACAGUCCUUGACCUCUUGGGGAGCUCAGCACAUACCGAGUGAGUGAGUGAACACCGAGACCCACCUCAGCAUAGUUCCCGAGCCCAGCUUCACUCCCAAAGGGGGAGACGUGCUGGAUCGGCCUUCUGUUGCCCUGCUACCCGCCAUGCCCACCACGCUGCCCACUGGUGGUGGGGGCAGCAAUAGUUCAGAAUGAAUUCUCCCUGGGUUUUAAAGUGGUUCCUUUUGCCGGUGGCUCUCAGGGAGAGUUCGGUGGGGCUGGUUGGGCAAAUCAGCUCCUUCUGAACGUGGUCAAGACCCACAUGUGGUGUGGCCAGGCUCCCACUCUCCCUGUCCAGCACCUCCACAGAGUCCUGGAGCGUCUAGAGGGGCCCAGAGCCGAGCCCACCCCACCAGCACAGGGUGGGCAGACUCGACAGGCUCCUGCGGCCCCAAGCAUCCAAUCUGCAACCUAUCGGCACCAGGAGCGCCAGGAGGGACUGCCCCCCACCCAGGAGCGCACAUAUCCGCAAUGCAAUUCCUUCGAGGAAAAUUACUCAAGCAGCCAUUUAUUAAAACACAACUGCUCCCGAGGAGCCUUUCGGCAGUGGAAAUACCAAAUAGCUUUGAAGCUCCAGCCGUCCCCGAAACCAAUGAAGCAGGCUUCUAGGCACUAUCUGACUUGUAAUCUGCUUGUUCUUUCCCCAUCUGGAAGGUCUAAUGAAAUGUUACACUAUGAGGAACACGGAAAUAAGGAACGUCAGAGGUGAGGAUUCAGGAUGGAAAUUGUCACCACAGGAUUGGGUUUUUCCCUGCCUCCUUCCUGGGGAGAGAAUCAAGAGGGACCGAGGCUGGACACUGAUUCCCAGGGGACUGCUUCCUUCCAAAUGCUGACAAGCCCUAAGAACAGCACGUGCUUUGCAGAAAAGGUCAGGUCCAGAAAGCAGGAGACUCAGCAAUUCCCUGAAUAGCCCAACCCUGAGUGCAGGCCGCCUCCAUCAGAACUCACAGGCCCCACAGGAAAUGAACAAGAGUCCAGCAGAGAGAGCCAGAGACCCAGGAGGAGGGCCUCCCGUCAGACCAGGGGACAGCCAACAGGCUAAUCCCUGCGACGAUUGCGCCCUCUCAUCCGCAGAAGCCGCCCUGGGCAUCCAAUCUUCCAGUCGGGCCGGUCUAAUGGGAUUGAAAUAAGUCCUCUAAAUGCCCAGCUCAUUUUUGUUCCUUAAUAAACACAUGCAUAGAGAAAGAAGCAAUUAAAGCAAGGAUGAGGAAAGGAACAACCAAGGAAGAAAGAUGAUUGCCAAACUCUGAGAGGCUGUUUUAGACAAGAGAUGACAGGGAUGGAAAAGAAAACACUGCCUCCCAAGACCACGGGUGUAGGACAAUGUCAUACCAGGCAGUCUGUGCCCCAGCCCCUCCCAGGAUGAAUUCUUCAGUUUGCGAGUCAGUUCCAGCAGCCGACCACCAUGGUCACUGCCAGAAACAGGAGCUUCUGGAAGAUGUAUCUAGGCUCUGGACGGGGGCCCAAACUCCACAAAUCCUUUUGCAUGAAAAGAAGGCACCAGUCCUUUGGCUUGGACCUUUUUCCUUUGGUGUGUGUGUGUGUGUGUGUGUGUGUGUGUUUGGUUGUGGCUUUAAUUUUUUACAAGUCUGAUGUGUCUUCAAUUGUAAAUGGCUUGAGUAAGAAGGGUGGGUGUGCUAUUCCUGAAACCAGGAAUCCAGGAGAGCUGCGACCUCAGUCACCCAGAAGUAUUAGCUGUUCCUGACCAGCUCCUACUGUCUGGCUAAAAAGGGGAUGAACAGAGCUGCUGUCUGACUCGCAGCCCACCAGCCAGGCCUGCAUGGCACUCAACUUUGUGCCAGGGGCUGGGAGGGGCUGCACAGGUGCGCCUGGCCAGGGACUGCCCUUGAGGGCUGGACCAUCCCCAAGGGGACAUUGGACCACAGACAGUAAUCGGCUUCUGCUGAGCAGGGGUGUGAGUCCCCUGAGAUCUGGGCCUGGUUCCCCCAUCUUGCCUUCCCUGAAGCUGGGUGGAAAGAUUUCCAUCUUUCAACCAUUGGCUCCCCACUCCCCCUCCUCCCACCGCCCAUUGGUUCACUCCUCAUCAUUAACACACCAAAUGCUGUGGAGCACCUGAUUGGAUACUUUGCCAAGCACAUGGUCAAUUACUGACAGAAGAAAAAGGUGAGAAAGAGCCAACAGAAUCCAGUUGUGAAAUCUGUUGCCUGUCUGAUAUCCAUCACCCUUUCAUUUGAUGAUAGGAUCUCCCCCAUGUGAACCCAUGCAAUAUGGUUGGGGGGGUUCUGACCCACCAAUAGGGCAAGGACAUGACCAGUUCAGACAAGUCAGUGUGUUCUGUCCCCCUGGACAAAAUGAGGGAGCCAAACAGAUCCAGAUCCCUGGGAUCUGAUAGGAACUCAGAAAACUUUCCUGAAGACGGUCUGCUCUGUGGCAGAAGAGAACAGAAAGAGCCGGAAAUGAGAAGAUAGGGCUGGGGGGCUGGUGUGACCACCCGCGGAAGUAGGGAAUGCAGAAAAGGAGGUAGGUUCCAGAAGAAAAUGGAAGAUUUGCUUUUGGAUAUAUGGAAGUCGAGGCAGGAGGACGUCAGGACAAACGUUUCAUAGGAAGCUAGGAGUUGGACACACGAGGUUUUGGAAUCAUUGGGGUUGAGUGGAGAAUCAGUCAAACUAAAGAAAAAGUAAGGCGAGGCUCGGACUGUGCAGAAUACGACCAUGAAGACGCUGGAAGAAGAGAAAAACGAGAGGCAACGCACCCGGGAAGGACUCAGAAAGAGGCAGUUGAGGGCAGUGCAGUGUCAUGGCUAGGAUCAUCCGUAAAGGCCUCGUUUUUCUCACGUACAGAGAAGUUUUUGAGAUAAAGACAUUAUAUCUCUCAAUGUCCAGUCUUAAACAGAACAGAAACAUUUCAGCCAUUUAAAAGACAAAAUACUCUGAAGCAAAAUUCGCAAAAUGCUGAAUAGAAUGUGACGUCACAGAGACACCCGGGCUGUCCAACAGCUUGGUCCCCAGGACUGAAGGAGUCAGCGUCCCGAUACUCCUGGGCCUCGGGCUGCUGUGCUUUCCAAGUGUGUAAGUGACCUAGAGUUUAGCAGGUGUCACCUCUGAUCAGCUUCACUAUGAUCUGAAUAUGGUUUUUUCCCUCUGAAUCUCAUGUUGGAAUCUGACUGCGACUGUGGCAGCGUUGGGAGGUGGAGCCUUUAAGGUUGUGCCUUCCUUCCCUGUGGGACCAGACUCCUUACCUCGGGAACAGGCUGUUAUAAAGCAAGUCUGAGCCCUGUAUUUUGUCUCUUCUGCUUAUCUACCUCGCAGUGACACAGACGCCCUCACCAGAAGCUGAGAAAACACCAGUGCCAUCCUCUUGGACUUUCCUACCUCCAGAAUCAUGAGCCCAAAUAAACCUCAUUUCUUUAUCAA